Molecule: microRNA precursor, 79 nt
Filed under: Chlorocebus sabaeus (green monkey)
Lineage: Eukaryota; Metazoa; Chordata; Mammalia; Primates; Cercopithecidae
Description: miRNA (ENSCSAG00000023730.1)
Source: RNAcentral
AUGGCCAGGCAGUCAAGGGCAUGGGCCCUGGAGCUAAUCUGUCCAGAUAGGGUUCAGAUCCCAGCACUGCCUCUCACUG